AGAAAAAAAAAAACACGUAGAAAUAUAUAUGAUUCGACCACUGGUCUACGUUCGUUGGUAAAGACAGAGCAAUAUUUUUUUUUUAUUUUUUUUAGAGAUAGGUAGCACGCUAGCUGCUUCGUUUAUUUUAUUUAGAAAUAAAUUUAGCUGGAAAUGUGAAUCAAUUAGAAUUCGAACUUGGAUCUCGAAUACCAACCACCAAAACUUUUGCCACUUAUUUUGGAAACGAUUGAUGAGCAAAAUUUUAUUAAUAUUUAAU
This 259-nucleotide long non-coding RNA is filed under the name Ananas comosus (pineapple). RNAcentral's name for it is "long non-coding RNA (ACOM_LNC042748)". Lineage: Eukaryota; Viridiplantae; Streptophyta; Magnoliopsida; Poales; Bromeliaceae. The record is from RNAcentral.